GUCCUACGGGGGCAGCAGUGGGGAAUAUUGCACAAUGGGGGAAACCCUGAUGCAGCGACGCCGCGUGAGUGAAGAAGUAAUUCGUUACGUAAAGCUCUAUCAGCAGGGAAGAAAAUGACGGUACCUGAGUAAGAAGCCCCGGCUAACUACGUGCCAGCAGCCGCGGUAAUACGUAGGGGGCAAGCGUUAUCUGGAAUUAUUGGGCGUAAAGAGUACGUAGGUGGCAACCUAAGCGCGGGGUUUAAGGCAAUGGCUCAACCAUUGUUCGCCCUGCGAACUGGGAUGCUUGAGUGCAGGAGAGGAGA
Molecule: ribosomal RNA, 305 nt
Filed under: uncultured bacterium
Lineage: Bacteria
Description: bacterial SSU rRNA
Rfam family: Bacterial small subunit ribosomal RNA
Source: RNAcentral